CUGCCCUUCACUCUGGGACAAGCCCUGGAAACGGGGUCUAAUACCGGAUAACACUUUCCUCUGCAUGGGGGAAGGUUGAAAGCUCCGGCGGUGAAGGAUGAGCCCGCGGCCUAUCAGCUUGUUGGUGGGGUGAUGGCCCACCAAGGCGACGACGGGUAGCCGGCCUGAGAGGGCGACCGGCCACACUGGGACUGAGACACGGCCCAGACUCCUACGGGAGGCAGCAGUGGGGAAUAUUGCACAAUGGGCGAAAGCCUGAUGCAGCGACGCCGCGUGAGGGAUGACGGCCUUCGGGUUGUAAACCUCUUUCAGCAGGGAAGAAGCGAAAGUGACGGUACCUGCAGAAGAAGCGCCGGCUAACUACGUGCCAGCAGCCGCGGUAAUACGUAGGGCGCAAGCGUUGUCCGGAAUUAUUGGGCGUAAAGAGCUCGUAGGCGGCUUGUCGCGUCGGAUGUGAAAGCCCGGGGCUUAACCCCGGGUCUGCAUUCGAUACGGGCAGGCUAGAGUGUGGUAGGGGAGAUCGGAAUUCCUGGUG
RNAcentral lists this ribosomal RNA (535 nucleotides) under Streptomyces sp. SAUK6024. Its description in RNAcentral is "bacterial SSU rRNA". It matches the Rfam family "Bacterial small subunit ribosomal RNA", at positions 126 to 675 of the family's 1533-position model. The record is from RNAcentral. Lineage: Bacteria; Bacillati; Actinomycetota; Actinomycetes; Kitasatosporales; Streptomycetaceae.